This 257-nucleotide ribosomal RNA is filed under the name uncultured bacterium. Its description in RNAcentral is "partial 16S ribosomal RNA". It matches the Rfam family "Bacterial small subunit ribosomal RNA", at positions 96 to 354 of the family's 1533-position model. The record is from RNAcentral.
CGGCGGACGGGUGAGUAACGCGUGGGUAACCUGCCUCAUACAGGGGGAUAACAGUUAGAAAUGACUGCUAAUACCGCAUAAGCGCACAGGACCGCAUGGUCCGGUGUGAAAAACUCCGGUGGUAUGAGAUGGACCCGCGUCUGAUUAGCUGGUUGGCGGGGUAACGCCCACCAAGGCGACGAUCAGUAGCCGACCUGAGAGGGUGGCCGGCCACAUUGGGACUGAGACACGGCCCAAACUCCUACGGGAGGCAGCAG